This 1012-nucleotide ribosomal RNA is filed under the name Clostridioides difficile. RNAcentral describes it as "partial 23S ribosomal RNA". It matches the Rfam family "Bacterial large subunit ribosomal RNA", at positions 1185 to 2214 of the family's 2925-position model. The record is from RNAcentral. Lineage: Bacteria; Bacillati; Bacillota; Clostridia; Peptostreptococcales; Peptostreptococcaceae.
AACUUACUACCGAAGCUACGGCAUCAGUAAUGAUGGGUAGGGGAGCUUCCCAUACGGGUUGAAGCAUGACCGUAAGGACAUGUGGACAGUAUGGGAGUGAGAAUGUUGGCAUGAGUAGCGAGAUGUGGGUGAGAAUCCCACAGGCCGUAAACCCAAGGUUUCCAGGGGAAGGUUCGUCCGCCCUGGGUUAGUCGGGACCUAAGCUGAGGCCGAAAGGCGUAGGUGAUGGACAACAGGUUGAUAUUCCUGUACUACCGAUAACCGUUUGAGAGAAGGGAUGACACAGUAGGAUAAGCUAAGCACACUGUUGGUUAUGUGUGCCCAAGCAUUGAGGCAGUCAAAGUAGGCAAAUCCGCUUUGAUAAUGCUGGGAUGUGAUGGGGAGCGAAAUUUAGUAGCGAAGUAGCUGAUUUCACACUGUCAAGAAAAGUCUCUAUCGAGGUUAAAGGUACCCGUACCGCAAACCGACACAGGUGGGUGAGGAGAGUAUCCUAGGGCCAGCGAGAGAACUGUUGUUAAGGAACUCGGCAAAAUGACCCCGUAACUUAGGGAUAAGGGGUGCCACCAUCAGGUGGCCGCAGAGAAUAGGCCCAAGCGACUGUUUACCAAAAACAUAGGUUUCUGCUAAGUCGCAAGACGAUGUAUAGGAGCUGACGCCUGCCCGGUGCUGGAAGGUUAAGGGGAUCUGUUAGAGCAAUCGAAGCAGUGAACUUAAGCCCCAGUAAACGGCGGCCGUAACUAUAACGGUCCUAAGGUAGCGAAAUUCCUUGUCGGGUAAGUUCCGACCCGCACGAAAGGCGUAACGAUUUGGGCACUGUCUCAACAACAGACUCGGUGAAAUUGUAAUUCCGGUGAAGAUGCCGGAUACCUGCGACAGGACGGAAAGACCCCAUGGAGCUUUACUGUAGCUUGACAUUGGGUCUUGGUACUACAUGUACAGGAUAGGUGGGAGGCUUUGAAACCAGGACGCCAGUUUUGGCGGAGCCAUCCUUGGGAUACCACCCUUGUAGUAC